AUGUUCAGAUAGCCAUGCACGUCUAAGUACAAACUAAAUGAUGGUGAAACUGCAAAUGGGCUCAUUACAACGGUUAUGAUGUACCCGGGAGUUCCGAUGGAUAUUUCCAGUAACACUAGAACUAAUACAUGUCCCUGCGUUUAUUAGUUUCGCACAGUCCGUCGCUGAGUCAUGGUAAACAGUUGAUCGACUCGACGUCCCGGAACAGUUUCCGCCCCAUCAGCUUCGAUGGUUGGGUAUUGGCCUACCAUUGCAACAACGGGUAACGAGGAAUUAGGGUUUGAUUUCGGAGAGGGAGCCUGAGAAACGGCUACCACAUCUACGGAUGGCAGCAGGCGCGCAAAUUACCCAAUGCAGACACUGUGAGGUAGUGACGAGAAAUAAUAAAGCGGGACUUCUGUUUCGCUAUUAUAAUGAGGAAUAACCAAAGGUCAUUCCGAUUAGCAACUGAUGGGAAAGUCUGGUGCCAGCAGCCGCGGUAAUACCAGCGUCAGUAGCAU
This 500-nucleotide ribosomal RNA is filed under the name uncultured Myrionecta. RNAcentral describes it as "SSU rRNA". It matches the Rfam family "Eukaryotic small subunit ribosomal RNA", at positions 34 to 600 of the family's 1831-position model. The record is from RNAcentral. Lineage: Eukaryota; Ciliophora; Litostomatea; Cyclotrichida; Mesodiniidae.